GAUGAACGCUGGCGGCGUGCCUAAUACAUGCAAGUCGAGCGAACAGACGAGGAGCUUGCUCCUCUGACGUUAGCGGCGGACGGGUGAGUAACACGUGGAUAACCUACCUAUAAGACUGGGAUAACUUCGGGAAACCGGAGCUAAUACCGGAUAAUAUAUUGAACCGCAUGGUUCAAUAGUGAAAGACGGUUUUGCUGUCACUUAUGGAUGGAUCCGCGCCGCAUUAGCUAGUUGGUAAGGUAACGGCUUACCAAGGCAACGAUGCGUAGCCGACCUGAGAGGGUGAUCGGCCACACUGGAACUGAGACACGGUCCAGACUCCUACGGGAGGCAGCAGUAGGGAAUCUUCCGCAAAGGGCGAAAGCCUGACGGAGCAACGCCGCGUGAGUGAUGAAGGUCUUCGGAUCGUAAAACUCUGUUUUUAGGGAAGAACAAAUGUGUAAGUAACUAUGCACGUCUUGACGGUACCUAAUCAGAAAGCCACGGCUAACUACGUG
Molecule: ribosomal RNA, 497 nt
Filed under: uncultured bacterium
Lineage: Bacteria
Description: partial 16S ribosomal RNA
Rfam family: Bacterial small subunit ribosomal RNA
Source: RNAcentral